This 1336-nucleotide ribosomal RNA is filed under the name uncultured bacterium. Its description in RNAcentral is "bacterial SSU rRNA". It matches the Rfam family "Bacterial small subunit ribosomal RNA", at positions 28 to 1362 of the family's 1533-position model. The record is from RNAcentral.
GAUGAACGCUGGCGGCGUGCUUAACACAUGCAAGUCGAACGAAGCACUUUAACCUGAUUCUUCGGAUGAAGGUUUUUGUGACUGAGUGGCGGACGGGUGAGUAACGCGUGGGUAACCUGCCUCAUACAGGGGGAUAACAGUUAGAAAUGACUGCUAAUACCGCAUAAGACCACGGAGCCGCAUGGCUCAGUGGGAAAAACUCCGGUGGUAUGAGAUGGACCCGCGUCUGAUUAGGUAGUUGGUGGGGUAACGGCCUACCAAGCCAACGAUCAGUAGCCGACCUGAGAGGGUGACCGGCCACAUUGGGACUGAGACACGGCCCAAACUCCUACGGGAGGCAGCAGUGGGGAAUAUUGCACAAUGGGGGAAACCCUGAUGCAGCGACGCCGCGUGAGCGAAGAAGUAUUUCGGUAUGUAAAGCUCUAUCAGCAGGGAAGAAAAUGACGGUACCUGACUAAGAAGCACCGGCUAAAUACGUGCCAGCAGCCGCGGUAAUACGUAUGGUGCAAGCGUUAUCCGGAUUUACUGGGUGUAAAGGGAGCGUAGACGGCUGUGUAAGUCUGAAGUGAAAGCCCGGGGCUCAACCCCGGGACUGCUUUGGAAACUAUGCAGCUAGAGUGUCGGAGAGGUAAGUGGAAUUCCCAGUGUAGCGGUGAAAUGCGUAGAUAUUGGGAGGAACACCAGUGGCGAAGGCGGCUUACUGGACGAUGACUGACGUUGAGGCUCGAAAGCGUGGGGAGCAAACAAGAUUCUGAUACCCUGGUAGUCCACCCCGUAAACGAUGAAUACUAGGUGUCGGGGAGCAAAGAUCUUCGUGGCCGCAGCAAAACGCAAAAAGUAGUCCCCCUGGGGAGUUACGUUCGCAAGAAAGAAACUCAAAAGAAAUGUCGGGGGCCCGCACAAGCGGUGGAGCAUGUUGUUUAAUUUGAAGCAACGCGAAGAACCUUACCUGCUCUUGACAUCCCGGUGACCGGCAUGUAAUGAUGCCUCUUCUUUGGAACACCGCCGACAGGUGGUGCAUGGUUGUUGUCAGCUCGUGUCGUGAGAUGUUGGGUUAAGUCCCGCAACGAGCGCAACCCUUAUUUUCAGUAGCCAGCAAUUCGGAUGGGCACUCUGGAGAGACUGCCAGGGAUAACCUGGAGGAAGGUGGGGAGGACGUCAAAUCAUCAUGCCCCCUCUGAGCAGGGCUACACACGUGCUACAAUGGCGUAAACAAAGGGAAGCGAGCCUGCGAGGGUAAGCAAAUCUCAAAAAUAACGUCUCACUUCGGAUUGUAGUCUGCAACUCGACUACAUGAAGCUGGAAUCGCUAGUAAUCGCGAGUCAGCAUGUCGCGG